This is an RNA transcript of Xenopus tropicalis (tropical clawed frog), 3544 nucleotides long. It is a transcript of the gene named TM2 domain containing 1, with no coding region annotated. The record is from RefSeq and is a predicted model, not a curated record. Lineage: Eukaryota; Metazoa; Chordata; Amphibia; Anura; Pipidae. The transcript is spliced from 7 exons.
UUCUAUAUUGCCACUCUCAAGAUGGCGUCACGGAAGUGAUACUAAAGCGGAACGCAGUCGCAUGUUUGGGAAGUGAACUUAGUAUAAACCUGCCUCUUGCAAAAUGGCGCUCCCCAGGCAUUUAUGGGCUAUUGUAACCGGAGUUUUGUGGUACAUUUUUUCUUUUCGCUACGUGACGGGAGAUGACGGGAUCGUAAAAUGCGAUGAGCUUCGUUUGGGACAGUUCAUAUGUGUGGAUCCUGAAAUAAAUCCUGCCACACAGGAGCCCGUAAAUUGUUCAAACUACACAGCUGAUGCUCCUUGCUUUCCAGCACCUAAUAUUACUUGUAAAGUGUAUGGUGGAAAUGUGACUACAUUCACAGGGAAAGAAAUAGGAUUUUACCGACCAUUCCCAUGCCGUAAUGUUAAUGGAUAUUCCUACAAAGUUGCUGUUGCUCUGUCUUUGUUUCUUGGAUGGUUGGGAGCAGACAGAUUUUAUCUAGGGUAUCCAGCUCUAGGAAUGCUGAAAUUUUGCACAGUGGGUUUCUGUGGAAUCGGCAGCUUACUUGACUUUAUCCUCAUUUCCAUGCAGGUGGGUUGCAAGUAUUGUUGGACCUUCUGACGGAUCAAGUUAUAUUAUAGAUUACUACGGUGCUAGGCUUGUCCAUCUGAGCAUUAACAAUGAGACCUACAGAAAGAUACCAUCAAACCCAUAAUUAUUAGAAUCUCUCAUGGUACCUAUUAGAACAACCUAUUAGAACAAUGCAAGUGGAUGGGCCAUCCCUUGCAAAUGAUACGGAGACUCAAACAUCUGUAAAGAAGGGGGACACAACUGAUUAAUUUAUGCUCACUUUAAAAAAGGGCCAAGUUAAACUAUGCAACAAUUAUGUCAUAUCACGUAACACUGUAAAUUCCAAGUCUGGUUUUGAAUGCACAAAAACCUGAAAAUAUGUAAAACUAAGGAUUUGGUCUGAUACAUAAACAAAUGUUUUUGUAAAUAAAUGUACACAUUUAUAAUGCUUGUAAAAGGCACUGAAGUGGAUGCAGAUAGUUUAAUAUUUGUCAUAAUCAACAGGUCUUCUGUAAAGUAUUUCUUGUUUCACUCAGAUUUUACACUUCUUAUUUUAUAUUGCCUCCCCUUCCUAGGGGCUGACAUGUUGCACUUUGGGCAAUUUUCCUCUCUUUCUUCAGUUUCUCGGCACGGCUACUGUUUAAAUGAAAUUCAUACUGCACAAGUCUGUGCACUGGAUAGGUUUGCUGGAAGAGACCUCUGAGCAUUAUCCAGUAUCCAAGUAUUAGUAUGAAGGAUUAGUAACACCAAAAAAUUUAAAGUGUUUUUAAGUGAUUAAAAUACAGGUGUAUAUUGCUGUGCACUAGUACAAAAUGUAUGCUUGCUUCAGAAAGGCUGUACUUUAUAUAAUUAGGUUAAGUUGACCGUGCUAAAUGGCACAGGUUACAUAGUAGAUAACAUAAGCUCUGUAGGAUCUGUAGGAUCUCAUUGUAUUCUACAGAGCUUAUUUUUUGUAUGCUAUGUAACAUUGCCGUUUCUGCUUUGAAUGGCUGCCGCCAUGACUACACAGCAGUGUAUUGAUGGAAACUAUAGUAUUAUGCACUUUCACCAGUUAAGGGCAACAGUAUUCUCGAAGGGGUGGGUUGGGACCUCAACUAACAAGGUAUAUUUGCCCUAAACCCCUUGUGAGUUCCUUAACUUAGCCGAAGGGUUCAAGCCCUUAUGUAUUUACAAAAGGUUGUGCUGUUGCAGUCUAUGUUGAACACCUCCACCUGAGGCAAGAAAAUGUCCUGCUUAAUCACAUAUAGGCAAUGCAGUCUUUUGUCUGAUUUCACACAGCACAUUUUCUCCUCCAUUGUAAAUAAAAGCUCCAGUCCCACCUGCUGCUGCCCCAUGUGUUUAAUAACAGUAAUGAAUGUGAUCAGCCUGUCACUGUGCAAGCAGAGGACAUUUCAGUCAGAAAAUAGGCCAUCCCUCUUCUGCCUCUUGCCCCACACGUUUUUUUGGCAAUCUCAGUCCUUUUGGGAUCUGCAAAUCGGUUUCAGUCUUAUUUGUAAAUAAUAUAUGUUAAAUAUACUAAGAAGAAAUGUUCUAAUACACCAGUAAACCAUGUCAUUUUACUUUACAAUUUAUGAAAAGAAAUUAAAUGAAACCCUUACUACAGUAAAUAAAGGUAGGUUUUUUUCCUGUAAGCAAUGACAAAGCUAGUAAAUUAUUCUGUGAUCUUAAAUGUAGUCAUGCAUUAUUCCAACAACUAUAUUGCUUUGUAAUCUUGUAAAUAGAACCACUCUUACAUAACGUUUUACUUUAUACUAUAUAGUAAUGGUCCAGAAAAUAUAAUUUAUCUGUCUUUUGUUUUCAAUACAUGUAAAUUGAAUAGUUUUCAGAAAGAUGAACAAUGUGGUUUAGUACUCAAGCUGCUUUUCAGACUUCAUAAAAUUCACAAAUCCAGGCAAGCAUAUAGGACACGCAGAUGUCUGAGGUAUUUUGUCGUAAUUCUUUAGAUGAUUCAUCCAUUCAGUAUUGAUCAUAUUUAAACUAUCCUUAGAAAGAAAACAUCUUCCAAUAGUUUUGUUUUUUUUUCUUUAGAAUUCAGAUUUUUUUUACUUCAUACAAAUUUUUUUUUUACCAAAAUCUGAUUUAUUCUCCAGUGAGUAUAUAGUCAUUACUUAAAGGAGAUGGAAAGGCAAUUAGUUAGUUGUUUUCUUUUUCCUGAGACCACAGACUCCACUGGCCCAGAGUACUACUGUAGGCGAGGGCACGUCUGCUUUUCACAUCGUACAGUGCACUUUAGAAACAAGGGAUCUCUAGGACAUAGAAGUUAAUGGGGAAGUGACGUUCCUACAGUAGUACCUCAGGCCAGUGCCAUUUUUAACAGGAGCCCAAGGUCUCAGGUUAGUUAUAAUCAAUGGGGAUGUCUACAGUCUCUGUUAUGCCUUUUCUUCUCCUUUAACACUGGUGUAUAAGAAAGGUACAAAUUGUGCUAAACAUAAUACCCACUAGUAGUACCAAAUAAUACCCACCAGAAGUUCCAAAUUAUCAGAUUGCAAAAAAAAAAAUACAAAAUAAAAUGGGCAGCUACAAAUUGUUACAUUGUUGUACUAAUCAUAUUUAAAGUUAAUUCAAACAUGAACUAUGGCUGCAAGUUACUUGUCAAUGGCUUUUAAAUUUCAGUACCAUGUCUGUAGUUAUUGGGCCCUAAAACAAGAUCCUUCCCAGGUACCUUUGGAAAGAUUUCCCUGAGUUAUUAACAUUUUACUGUUAAAUAAUGAUGUUAUUAUGCCCAAACGGACAUGGCCUGGACAUCCCUACUGUAAAGGCAAUUAACCUCACAGCCAAGAUAGUGUUUAAUGGAUUGACACAUUUAUUUGAAGUAACAUUUCUUUGUUAACAUUAAUUCCAGUGUAUAUACUUGUUAGCUUUAAUGGGAUGUAAUUUGUAGAUAUAAACUUGCAUUGUAUAUUUGUAUUUAUUUCAUAAAGUAAUUUACUUCUGUAAAAGUUGAGAAAUGUUUUUGGAAGAAAAUUGUCAUUAAAUUAUUCAACAAUUUAUUUU